Molecule: ribosomal RNA, 472 nt
Filed under: uncultured organism
Description: partial 16S ribosomal RNA
Rfam family: Bacterial small subunit ribosomal RNA
Source: RNAcentral
ACACUCCUGCGGGAGGCAGCAGUGGGGAAUUUUGGACAAUGGGCGAAAGCCUGAUCCAGCAAUGCCGCGUGCAGGAUGAAGGCCUUCGGGUUGUAAACUGCUUUUGUACGGAACGAAAAAGCUCCUUCUAAUACAGGGGGCCCAUGACGGUACCGUAAGAAUAAGCACCGGCUAACUACGUGCCAGCAGCCGCGGUAAUACGUAGGGUGCGAGCGUUAAUCGGAAUUACUGGGCGUAAAGCGUGCGCAGGCGGUUAUGUAAGACAGAUGUGAAAUCCCCGGGCUCAACCUGGGAACUGCAUUUGUGACUGCAUGGCUAGAGUACGGUAGAGGGGGAUGGAAUUCCGCGUGUAGCAGUGAAAUGCGUAGAUAUGCGGAGGAACACCGAUGGCGAAGGCAAUCCCCUGGACCUGUACUGACGCUCAUGCACGAAAGCGUGGGGAGCAAACAGGAUUAGAUACCCUUGUAGUCCC